This 463-nucleotide ribosomal RNA is filed under the name uncultured bacterium. RNAcentral's name for it is "partial 16S ribosomal RNA". It matches the Rfam family "Bacterial small subunit ribosomal RNA", at positions 28 to 507 of the family's 1533-position model. The record is from RNAcentral.
GACGAACGCUGGCGGCGUGCUUAACACAUGCAAAUCGAACGGAAAGGCCUUUUCGGAGGUACUCGAGUGGCGAACGGGUGAGUAACACGUGGGUGAUCUGCCCUGCACUCUGGGAUAAGCCUGGGAAACUGGGUCUAAUACCGGAUAGGACCGCACUUUAGUGUGUGUGGUGGAAAGUUUUUUCGGUGUAGGAUGAGCCCGCGGCCUAUCAGCUUGUUGGUGGGGUAAUGGCCUACCAAGGCGGCGACGGGUAGCCGGACUGAGAGGUUGGUCGGCCACAUUGGGACUGAGAUACGGCCCAGACUCCUACGGGAGGCAGCAGUGGGGAAUAUUGCACAAUGGGCGCAAGCCUGGUGCAGCGACGCCGCGUGGGGGAUGACGGCCUUCGGGUUGUAAACUCCUUUCGCCAGGGACGAAGCGUUUUGUGACGGUACCUGGAGAAGAAGCACCGGCUAACUACGUG